GGGGAAUAUUGCGCAAUGGAGGAAACUCUGACGCAGCGACGCCGCGUGAGCGAAGAAGGCCUUCGGGUCGUAAAGCUCUGUUCUUGGGGACGAAUAAGGUGACGGUACCCAAGGAGAAAGCCCCGGCUAACUACGUGCCAGCAGCCGCGGUAAUACGUAGGGGGCGAGCGUUGUCCGGAAUUACUGGGCGUAAAGGGCGUGUAGGCGGCCGUGCAAGUCAAGUGUGAAAAGCCUCGGCUUAACCGAGGCAUUGCACAUGAAACUGCAUGGCUUGAGUGCAGGAGAGGGAAGUGGAAUUCCUAGUGUAGCGGUGAAAUGCGUAGAUAUUAGGAGGAACACCAGUGGCGAAGGCGACUUCCUGGACUGUAACUGACGCUGAGGCGCGAAAGCGUGGGUAGCAAAC
This 403-nucleotide ribosomal RNA is filed under the name uncultured bacterium. Its description in RNAcentral is "bacterial SSU rRNA". It matches the Rfam family "Bacterial small subunit ribosomal RNA", at positions 356 to 773 of the family's 1533-position model. The record is from RNAcentral.